GGAAAGGCGCGCGAUACAGGGUGACAGCCCCGUACACAAAAAUGCACAUGCUGUGAGCUCGAUGAGUAGGGCGGGACACGUGGUAUCCUGUCUGAAUAUGGGGGGACCAUCCUCCAAGGCUAAAUACUCCUGACUGACCGAUAGUGAACCAGUACCGUGAGGGAAAGGCGAAAAGAACCCCGGCGAGGGGAGUGAAAAAGAACCUGAAACCGUGUACGUACAAGCAGUGGGAGCACGCUUAGGCGUGUGACUGCGUACCUUUUGUAUAAUGGGUCAGCGACUUAUAUUCUGUAGCAAGGUUAACCGAAUAGGGGAGCCGAAGGGAAACCGAGUCUUAACUGGGCGUUAAGUUGCAGGGUAUAGACCCGAAACCCGGUGAUCUAGCCAUGGGCAGGUUGAAGGUUGGGUAACACUAACUGGAGGACCGAACCGACUAAUGUUGAAAAAUUAGCGGAUGACUUGUGGCUGGGGGUGAAAGGCCAAUCAAACCGGGAGAUAGCUGGUUCUCCCCGAAAGCUAUUUAGGUAGCGCCUCGUGAAUUCAUCUCCGGGGGUAGAGCACUGUUUCGGCAAGGGGGUCAUCCCGACUUACCAACCCGAUGCAAACUGCGAAUACCGGAGAAUGUUAUCACGGGAGACACACGGCGGGUGCUAACGUCCGUCGUGAAGAGGGAAACAACCCAGACCGCCAGCUAAGGUCCCAAAGUCAUGGUUAAGUGGGAAACGAUGUGGGAAGGCCCAGACAGCCAGGAUGUUGGCUUAGAAGCAGCCAUCAUUUAAAGAAAGCGUAAUAGCUCACUGGUCGAGUCGGCCUGCGCGGAAGAUGUAACGGGGCUAAACCAUGCACCGAAGCUGCGGCAGCGACGCUGAUGCGUUGUUGGGUAGGGGAGCGUUCUGUAAGCCUGCGAAGGUGUGCUGUGAGGCAUGCUGGAGGUAUCAGAAGUGCGAAUGCUGACAUAAGUAACGAUAAAGCGGGUGAAAAGCCCGCUCGCCGGAAGACCAAGGGUUCCUGUCCAACGUUAAUCGGGGCAGGGUGAGUCGACCCCUAAGGCGAGGCCGAAAGGCGUAGUCGAUGGGAAACAGGUUAAUAUUCCUGUACUUGGUGUUACUGCGAAGGGGGGACGGAGAAGGCUAUGUUGGCCGGGCGACGGUUGUCCCGGUUUAAGCGUGUAGGCUGGUUUUCCAGGCAAAUCCGGAAAAUCAAGGCUGAGGCGUGAUGACGAGGCACUACGGUGCUGAAGCAACAAAUGCCCUGCUUCCAGGAAAAGCCUCUAAGCAUCAGGUAACAUCAAAUCGUACCCCAAACCGACACAGGUGGUCAGGUAGAGAAUACCAAGGCGCUUGAGAGAACUCGGGUGAAGGAACUAGGCAAAAUGGUGCCGUAACUUCGGGAGAAGGCACGCUGAUAUGUAGGUGAAGUCCCUCGCGGAUGGAGCUGAAAUCAGUCGAAGAUACCAGCUGGCUGCAACUGUUUAUUAAAAACACAGCACUGUGCAAACACGAAAGUGGACGUAUACGGUGUGACGCCUGCCCGGUGCCGGAAGGUUAAUUGAUGGGGUUAGCGCAAGCGAAGCUCUUGAUCGAAGCCCCGGUAAACGGCGGCCGUAACUAUAACGGUCCUAAGGUAGCGAAAUUCCUUGUCGGGUAAGUUCCGACCUGCACGAAUGGCGUAAUGAUGGCCAGGCUGUCUCCACCCGAGACUCAGUGAAAUUGAACUCGCUGUGAAGAUGCAGUGUACCCGCGGCAAGACGGAAAGACCCCGUGAACCUUUACUAUAGCUUGACACUGAACAUUGAGCCUUGAUGUGUAGGAUAGGUGGGAGGCUUUGAAGUGUGGACGCCAGUCUGCAUGGAGCCGACCUUGAAAUACCACCCUUUAAUGUUUGAUGUUCUAACGUUGACCCGUAAUCCGGGUUGCGGACAGUGUCUGGUGGGUAGUUUGACUGGGGCGGUCUCCUCCUAAAGAGUAACGGAGGAGCACGAAGGUUGGCUAAUCCUGGUCGGACAUCAGGAGGUUAGUGCAAUGGCAUAAGCCAGCUUGACUGCGAGCGUGACGGCGCGAGCAGGUGCGAAAGCAGGUCAUAGUGAUCCGGUGGUUCUGAAUGGAAGGGCCAUCGCUCAACGGAUAAAAGGUACUCCGGGGAUAACAGGCUGAUACCGCCCAAGAGUUCAUAUCGACGGCGGUGUUUGGCACCUCGAUGUCGGCUCAUCACAUCCUGGGGCUGAAGUAGGUCCCAAGGGUAUGGCUGUUCGCCAUUUAAAGUGGUACGCGAGCUGGGUUUAGAACGUCGUGAGACAGUUCGGUCCCUAUCUGCCGUGGGCGCUGGAGAACUGAGGGGGGCUGCUCCUAGUACGAGAGGACCGGAGUGGACGCAUCACUGGUGUUCGGGUUGUCAUGCCAAUGGCACUGCCCGGUAGCUAAAUGCGGAAGAGAUAAGUGCUGAAAGCAUCUAAGCACGAAACUUGCCCCGAGAUGAGUUCUCCCUGACUCCUUGAGAGUCCUGAAGGAACGUUGAAGACGACGACGUUGAUAGGCCGGGUGUGUAAGCGCAGCGAUGCGUUGAGCUAACCGGUACUAAUGAACCGUGAG
This 2588-nucleotide ribosomal RNA is filed under the name Escherichia coli. RNAcentral describes it as "partial 23S ribosomal RNA". It matches the Rfam family "Bacterial large subunit ribosomal RNA", at positions 344 to 2915 of the family's 2925-position model. Lineage: Bacteria; Pseudomonadati; Pseudomonadota; Gammaproteobacteria; Enterobacterales; Enterobacteriaceae. The record is from RNAcentral.